Molecule: ribosomal RNA, 468 nt
Filed under: uncultured bacterium
Lineage: Bacteria
Description: partial 16S ribosomal RNA
Rfam family: Bacterial small subunit ribosomal RNA
Source: RNAcentral
GACGAACGCUGGCGGCGUGCUUAACACAUGCAAGUCGAACGGAAAGGCCCUGCUUUUGUGGGGUGCUCGAGUGGCGAACGGGUGAGUAACACGUGAGUAACCUGCCCUUGACUUUGGGAUAACUUCAGGAAACUGGGGCUAAUACCGGAUAGGAGCUCCUGCUGCAUGGGGGGGGUUGGAAAGUUUCGGCGGUUGGGGAUGGACUCGCGGCUUAUCAGCUUGUUGGUGGGGUAGUGGCUUACCAAGGCUUUGACGGGUAGCCGGCCUGAGAGGGUGACCGGCCACAUUGGGACUGAGAUACGGCCCAGACUCCUACGGGAGGCAGCAGUGGGGAAUAUUGCACAAUGGGCGGAAGCCUGAGGCAGCAACGCCGCGUGCGGGAUGACGGCCUUCGGGUUGUAAACCGCUUUCGCAUGUGACGAAGCGUGAGUGACGGUAAUGGGUAAAGAAGCACCGGCUAACUACGUG